This 73-nucleotide transfer RNA is filed under the name Nitrososphaeria archaeon. RNAcentral's name for it is "tRNA-Val". It matches the Rfam family "tRNA". From Rfam's summary of the family: Transfer RNA (tRNA) molecules are approximately 80 nucleotides in length. Their secondary structure includes four short double-helical elements and three loops (D, anti-codon, and T loops). Further hydrogen bonds mediate the characteristic L-shaped molecular structure. tRNAs have two regions of fundamental functional importance: the anti-codon, which is responsible for specific mRNA codon recognition, and the 3' end, to which the tRNAs corresponding amino acid is attached (by aminoacyl-tRNA synthetases). tRNAs cope with the degeneracy of the genetic code in two manners: having more than one tRNA (with a specific anti-codon) for a particular amino acid; and 'wobble' base-pairing, i.e. permitting non-standard base-pairing at the 3rd anti-codon position. Lineage: Archaea; Thermoproteati; Nitrososphaerota; Nitrososphaeria. The record is from RNAcentral. RNAcentral also lists the same sequence under 2 other names.
GGGUCGAUGGUCUAGUGGCUAUGACGCCGCCUUGACGUGGCGGAAAUCGCAGGUUCAAUUCCUGCUCGACCCA